CCCUAACCAUUUGCCUUAUAAGAUGCCCAGUAUAGAAAUCCCAGAGGACACUAUUUACAGUUUAACACUGUAAGCCCAAAUGUAGAAUGGAUUUUAAAUCAUAUUCUACAGAGCCCCAGAAUUUCAUAGAGGGGCUUCAGGGUGUGAAAGGGGUAUGUGGAGGGGGAGGGGGAGUCACCGACAACAACAAGCCGAGUCCCUACACACACAACACACUCACACUCACACUCACGCACUCACUCGCUCUCUCACUCACACACACACAACACAGGCGAGAACCACCUCCUCACUGCAGCACCGGAUCAACGGCGGCACGCACGCCCGGUCGGCCCCCGCCACGUGACAGAGCUCGUCACGCCUGGGCCGCCGCGACUUGUAGUUCUCGUCCCUUUGACUGACGGCCCAGCUGGCGCCAGAAAGACUACAAGUCCCGUUAGCUACUGCACCCAGUCGCCGCC
This 458-nucleotide long non-coding RNA is filed under the name Dasypus novemcinctus (nine-banded armadillo). Its description in RNAcentral is "lncRNA (ENSDNOG00000051803.1)". Lineage: Eukaryota; Metazoa; Chordata; Mammalia; Cingulata; Dasypodidae. The record is from RNAcentral.